AGAGUUUGAUCAUGGCUCAGGAUGAACGCUAGCUACAGGCUUAACACAUGCAAGUCGAGGGGCAGCAUUUUAGUUUUGCUUGCAAACUGAAGAUGGCGACCGGCGCACGGGUGAGUAACACGUAUCCAACCUGCCGAUAACUCCGGAAUAGCCUUUCGAAAGAAAGAUUAAUACCGGAUAGCAUACGAAUAUCGCAUGAUUAUUUUUAUUAAAGAAUUUCGGUUAUCGAUGGGGAUGCGUUCCAUUAGUUUGUUGGCGGGGUAACGGCCCACCAAGACUACGAUGGAUAGGGGUUCUGAGAGGAAGGUCCCCCACAUUGGAACUGAGACACGGUCCAAACUCCUACGGGAGGCAGCA
RNAcentral lists this ribosomal RNA (357 nucleotides) under uncultured bacterium. Its description in RNAcentral is "bacterial SSU rRNA". It matches the Rfam family "Bacterial small subunit ribosomal RNA", at positions 8 to 353 of the family's 1533-position model. The record is from RNAcentral.